RNAcentral lists this ribosomal RNA (1343 nucleotides) under uncultured bacterium. RNAcentral's name for it is "16S ribosomal RNA". It matches the Rfam family "Bacterial small subunit ribosomal RNA", at positions 28 to 1378 of the family's 1533-position model. The record is from RNAcentral.
GACGAACGCUGGCGGCGUGCUUAACACAUGCAAGUCGAACGGAAAGGCCCUGCUUUUGUGGGGUGCUCGAGUGGCGAACGGGUGAGUAACACGUGAGUAACCUGCCCUUGACUUUGGGAUAACUUCAGGAAACUGGGGCUAAUACCGGAUAGGAGCUCCUGCUGCAUGGUGGGGGUUGGAAAGUUCCGGCGGUUGGGGAUGGACUCGCGGCUUAUCAGCUUGUUGGUGGGGUAGUGGCUUACCAAGGCUUUGACGGGUAGCCGGCCUGAGAGGGUGACCGGCCACAUUGGGACUGAGAUACGGCCCAGACUCCUACGGGAGGCAGCAGUGGGGAAUAUUGCACAAUGGGCGGAAGCCUGAUGCAGCAACGCCGCGUGCGGGAUGACGGCCUUCGGGUUGUAAACCGCUUUCGCCUGUGACGAAGCGUGAGUGACGGUAAUGGGUAAAGAAGCACCGGCUAACUACGUGCCAGCAGCCGCGGUGAUACGUAGGGUGCGAGCGUUGUCCGGAUUUAUUGGGCGUAGAGGGCUCGUAGGUGGUUGAUCGCGUCGGAAGUGUAAUCUUGGGGCUUAACCCUGAGCGUGCUUUCGAUACGGGUUGACUUGAGGAAGGUAGGGGAGAAUGGAAUUCCUGGUGGAGCGGUGGAAUGCGCAGAUAUCAGGAGGAACACCAGUGGCGAAGGCGGUUCUCUGGGCCUUUCCUGACGCUGAGGAGCGAAAGCGUGGGGAGCGAACAGGCUUAGAUACCCUGGUAGUCCACGCUGUAAACGGUGGGUACUAGGUGUGGGGUCCAUUCCACGGGUUCCGUGCCGUAGCUAACGCUUUAAGUACCCCGCCUGGGGAGUACGGCCGCAAGGCUAAAACUCAAAGGAAUUGACGGGGCCCCGCACAAGCGGCGGAGCAUGCGGAUUAAUUCGAUGCAACGCGUAGAACCUUACCUGGGUUUGACAUGGAUCGGGAGUGCUCAGAGAUGGGUGUGCCUCUUUUGGGGUCGGUUCACAGGUGGUGCAUGCCUGUCGUCAGCUCGUGUCGUGAGAUGUUGGGUUAAGUCCCGCAACGAGCGCAACCCUUGUUCACUGUUGCCAGCACGUUAUGGUGGGGACUCAGUGGAGACCGCCGGGGUCAACUCGGAGGAAGGUGGGGAUGACGUCAAGUCAUCAUGCCCCUUAUGUCCAGGGCUUCACGCAUGCUACGAUGGCUGGUACAGAGAGUGGCGAGCCUGUGAGGGUGAGCGAAUCUCGGAAAGCCGGUCUCAGUUCGGAUUGGGGUCUGCAACUCGACCUCAUGAAGUCGGAGUCGCUAGUAAUCGCAGAUCAGCAACGCUGCGGUGAAUACGUUCCCGGG